UACAGAGGUCUCAAGCGUUGUUCGGAUUCAUUGGGCGUAAAGGGUGCGUAGGUGGCGGGGUAAGUCAGGUGUGAAAUCUCGGAGCUCAACUCCGAAACUGCACUUGAUACUGCCUUGCUUGAGUACUGGAGAGGAGAUUGGAAUUUACGGUGUAGCAGUGAAAUGCGUAGAUAUCGUAAGGAAGACCAGUGGCGAAAGCGGCUUCCUGGACCAGUACCGACGUUCAGGCACGAAAGCGUGGGGAGCAAACAGG
Molecule: ribosomal RNA, 253 nt
Filed under: uncultured bacterium
Lineage: Bacteria
Description: partial 16S ribosomal RNA
Rfam family: Bacterial small subunit ribosomal RNA
Source: RNAcentral